Molecule: ribosomal RNA, 380 nt
Filed under: Anthomyza orineglecta
Lineage: Eukaryota; Metazoa; Arthropoda; Insecta; Diptera; Anthomyzidae
Description: partial 16S large subunit ribosomal RNA
Source: RNAcentral
CGAAGGUAGCAUAAUCAUUAGUCUUUUAAUUGAAGGCUGGUAUGAAUGGUUGGAUGAGAUAUUAACUGUUUCAUUUAAAUUUUUUAUAGAAUUUUAUUUUUUAGUUAAAAAGCUAAAAUAUUAUUAAAAGACGAGAAGACCCUAUAAAUCUUUAUAUUUUAUUUUUAUUAAUUAUUUAGAUAUUUUUAAUUAUUAAAAAUUAAAAUAUUUUAUUGGGGUGAUAUUAAAAUUUAAUAAACUUUUAAUUAAUAAUAACAUAAAUUUAUGAUUUUUUGAUCCGUUAUUAAUGAUUAAAAAUUUAAGUUACUUUAGGGAUAACAGCGUAAUUUUUUUGGAGAGUUCAUAUCGAUAAAAAAGAUUGCGACCUCGAUGUUGGAUUA